This 340-nucleotide ribosomal RNA is filed under the name uncultured Actinomycetes bacterium. RNAcentral's name for it is "bacterial SSU rRNA". It matches the Rfam family "Bacterial small subunit ribosomal RNA", at positions 28 to 351 of the family's 1533-position model. The record is from RNAcentral. Lineage: Bacteria; Bacillati; Actinomycetota; Actinomycetes.
GACGAACGCUGGCGGCGUGCCUAACACAUGCAAGUCGAGCGGACCGACCCCGUUUCUUCGGAGAUGGGACAGGUUAGCGGCGAACGGGUGAGUAACACGUGGGCAAUCUGCCCCGAAGACCGGGAUAACUCCGGGAAACCGGUGCUAAUACUGGAUACCUUGGUCUCACCGCAUGAUGAGAUCAAGAAAAGGUUGCUUUGCUUCCGCUUCGGGAUGAGCCCGCGGCCCAUUAGCUUGUUGGUGAGGUAACGGCUCACCAAGGCUACGAUGGGUAGCCGGCCUGAGAGGGUGUACGGCCACACUGGGACUGAGAUACGGCCCAGACUCCUACGGGUGGCAG